CCUACGGGAGGCAGCAGUGAGGAAUAUUGGUCAAUGGCCGUAAGGCUGAACCAGCCAAGUCGCGUGAAGGAAGAAGGAUCUAUGGUUUGUAAACUUCUUUUAUAGGGGAAUAAAGGUAUCCACGUGUGGAUAUUUGCAUGUACCCUAUGAAUAAGCAUCGGCUAACUCCGUGCCAGCAGCCGCGGUAAUACGGAGGAUGCGAGCGUUAUCCGGAUUUAUUGGGUUUAAAGGGUGCGUAGGUUGUUUUUUAAGUCAGCGGUGAAAGUUUGUGGCUCAACCAUAAAAUUGCCGUUGAAACUGGAAGACGUGAGUGUGUUUGAGGUAGGCGGAAUGCGUGGUGUAGCUGUGAAAUGCAUAGAUAUCACGCAGAACUCCGAUUGCGAAGGCAGCUUACUAAGCCAUAACUGACACUGAAGCACGAAAGCGUGGGGAUCAAACAGGAUUAGAUACCCGUGUAGUC
Molecule: ribosomal RNA, 460 nt
Filed under: uncultured bacterium
Lineage: Bacteria
Description: partial 16S ribosomal RNA
Rfam family: Bacterial small subunit ribosomal RNA
Source: RNAcentral